AUCCUUCUCCUCACAGGAAAUAACGAAGUGGAACGGGGUUGAAUCCAUUUUAUCAUAGAAAAGUUCAAACAAUUCCCUUGACCAGUCCAUGUCAGUUUCAUGACAGAUCUGCUUUCAAAUCAAUACCACCUACAUGAUUUGGGAGGCACUAUGUUCCAAGAUCUGUGUGUUUGGAAGAGAAGCUUAUUUGCUAUGCAUACUUUCUAUUUACUAGGAAAAAACAAAGGCAAAUAAAGGCAGACUGCAUAGUCAGGAGCUGAAGAUGUCACCUAAGUAAACCCUGAAAGCAUGGAGACAAUGACAGAGAGACAGCAACACACUUUGAAUUUAAACAAGAAUGGCACAGGGUCUUCAGUCUACCAAUCAGGAAAACUCUGAACGAGUCUAGCUUUGCUUAAUGAGUAAGUCACUUGCUGCCAUAUCAGAAGACUGCCUAAUUAGCAGUUCCAAGAUCCCUUCAAAUUAAUUUAGCCUUUUCAGACACUCAUGUGAUUCAUAGUAGCAAAGAACAAAUUAUUCCAUUUUAAAUGUAAUCUGAUUCAGUAGCUCCUGGUACCAGACAUUUUGUCAGAUGUGACUUUUCCAAGGAAUAUCACUUUACUAGCUGCAUUAGCAAGACAACCUUCAUUUCAAUGAGAAAAAAGACACUUAUAGUACUUGGGAAAUCUGCUCUCUGGCCUCUUUCUUUGCUUUCCAAACUCAUAUACAAUGACAGUUACAAAACACAUGUAAUUACAAGCUUUAAAAAAUGGGUCUUGUUGAGAAUUACAGUUUUACAGUUAAUACUUUUGCAAAUCUGAGUAAUUAGGCACCAUGAAGAACUGUUAAAAGAAAAUACAGAAUACAUAGACCAAUAACAUCUAGUUAUCAAUUAACAUGUAUCAAUUAAAAUUAAUAUUUUACAGGAAGAUUCUGUUUUGCAAAAUUAUUUUGCAAAAGGGACCAUGUAAUUUAAAAAUGAAACCACUGUAUUCAAUCAGUACUUUAAAAUAUUUACAAACAUGCCCUGUUGAGCCAUGGAGCUUUGGAUGGCUUUUUUUUUGUAAACUCUGUCACUUACGGAAAAUUCACAUUUAAAGAACUGUGUGUUGAAUUUCCAUAAUCAUCAUUAUUAUAUGGUUAUGUAAUCUUAAAACUUUUUUGAUGUUCAUCCAAUAAGUGCAAUUUCUCAAAGAUGACAUUUACUCAAAGCAAGAUUGCACAUCAGAGGGAUGGAUAGAUAUUAAAAUGUGACUCAGCAAGGUGAUGUACUUUCAAAGUGCCUAUGAGUCAUGCCAUUAUUUAUCCAGAUGGAUCUCAAAACAUGGGCCUAGAAGUCAGUACCAUAAAAAUGUAUCCUAAAAUCACCAUGUAGUGUUCAAUGAGAGGAUAACUCUUGUUGUAUUUACACUUUAAUCUGUUGAGUAUCAGGGCUAUGGGUAUGUCUACACUUGGAGCUAGGGGGUGUGAUUCUCAGCUUGAGGAGACAUACUCAUGCUAGCUCUGAUCUAGCUAGUGCACUGAAAAUAGCAUAGCUGCAGCAGUGCAAGUGGUGGGAGGGUCUAACCACGAGUACCUGUCCAAGAUGGUAGGCACGUACUUAGGGCAGCUAACUCCCCUGUUGAUUGUGCUGCUGAGGCUAUGGUCUAUUUUUAGCAUGCUAAUUCUGGCCGAGCUAGCGGAGAUAUGUCUCCUUUGCGCUGAGACUCACACCCCUGGCUCCAAGUGUACACAUAUGCUGGGAGGCAGGAAAGCAGAAAUAGGAACUGCAAGAGUAAUGCUGCAACAGUUUUGAGCUGCACAUAGAGUUUUAGUCCUUGUUUUUCUGCAAAAGAACUACUGCUUGAAAGGUAGAGAAAUAUGCCCCUCUGGCUGAAACCUUGAGACCUAAGUGUUACUAGGUCCAGACACACACACUGCUCUUCGGAGUCUUAGGCGCAUGGGACUCCAGUAACAAGCGAGUGCUGAGAGAAUGCUGAAUCGGUCAACACUACGCUCGGCUGAUGCGGCAACGUAUGGUGUCUGACACCAUCAGGUGGUUGAAGGACAACUACAUAGAACACAUCACAAGACACUGGCAAUACCAGGAGGGAUGAGCUGGAGUGCCGAUGAAAAGCGCAGUCAGGAAAGUAACUGAAAUACUUUCCUCAUGGAUUGUAUUUUCUAAAUGGACAAGCAACCUAAUUCUCAGUUACUGAGGGACAAUCUCCACUCAGUGAUAUAUUUUGCUUUCCUCAACCAAAUCUCUCUACAACUUUUCAUGAGUGAUGUACCCGAGUAUUUGGAUUCUAAUAUCUAAACUGUAUUCAGAUUCUAAUAUCUAAACUGUAAAUCUAUUCACUUAAAUUUGGGUUAUUGCUUAUUAUGUACUCUAUGUAUCAUAUGACUUUUAAAAAUUAACUUUAUAUGUGUGGAUCAUCUAAGCACUAUACCCAGAUGUACAGGUACUCUUUUCCCAACCCAUGUAUUAUAUAAUUUUUUGAA
Long non-coding RNA from Caretta caretta (loggerhead turtle), 2463 nucleotides. RefSeq lists it as uncharacterized. The record is from RefSeq and is a predicted model, not a curated record. Lineage: Eukaryota; Metazoa; Chordata; Testudines; Cheloniidae.